UACGUAGGGGGCAAGCGUUAUCCGGAUUUACUGGGUGUAAAGGGAGCGUAGACGGCCAGACAAGUCUGAAGUGAAAAUCCAGCGCUUAACGUUGGAAGUGCUUUGGAAACUGCCGGGCUAGAGUGCAGGAGGGGCAGGCGGAAUUCCUAGUGUAGCGGUGAAAUGCGUAGAUAUUAGGAGGAACACCAGUGGCGAAGGCGACUUUCUGGACGAUAACUGACGUUGAGGCACGAAAGUGUGGGGAGCAAACAGG
Molecule: ribosomal RNA, 253 nt
Filed under: uncultured bacterium
Lineage: Bacteria
Description: partial 16S ribosomal RNA
Rfam family: Bacterial small subunit ribosomal RNA
Source: RNAcentral